RNAcentral lists this ribosomal RNA (825 nucleotides) under uncultured archaeon. Its description in RNAcentral is "bacterial SSU rRNA". It matches the Rfam family "Archaeal small subunit ribosomal RNA", at positions 1 to 811 of the family's 1478-position model. The record is from RNAcentral.
UUCCGGUUGAUCCUUGCGGGCACCGAAUGCUAUUCGGGUGAGGAUAAGCCAUGCGAGUUGAAUGGAAUACCUAAAUUUCCCAUAGCAAACUGCUCAGUAACACAUGAUCAACUUGCCCUAUAGAGAAAAAUAACCUCGGGAAACUGAGGAUAAUAUUUCAUAGUUGAAAAGGCUUGGAAAAGUUUUUCAAUCAAAGGGAUAAAAAAAAAUGGUUUUAUCUGCUAUAGGAUAGGAUCGUGCUCGAUUAUGGUUGUUGGUGAGGUAAUGGCUCACCAAGCCGAUAAUCGAUAGGGGCCGUGAGAGCGGGUGCCCCGAGAUGGGUACUGAGACAACGACCCAGGUCUUACGAGACGCAGCAGGCGCGAAACCUCCGCAAUACACGAAAGUGUGACGGGGUUACCCAAAGUGUUCAAUUUUGAACUGUGGUAGGUGAGUAAUGUCCCCUACUAGAAAGGAGAGGGCAAGGCUGGUGCCAGCCGCCGCGGUAAAACCAGCUCUUCAAGUGGUCGGGAUAAUUAUUGGGCUUAAAGUGUCCGUAGCCGGUUUAGUAAGUUCCUGGUAAAAUCGGGUAGCUUAACUAUCCGUAUGCUAGGAAUACUGCUAUACUAGAGGGCGGGAGAGGUCUGAGGUACUAUAGGGGUAGGGGUGAAAUCCUAUAAUCCUUGUAGGACCACCAGUGGCGAAGGCGUCAGACUGGAACGCGCCUGACGGUGAGGGACGAAAGCCAGGGGAGCGAACCGGAUUAGAUACCCGGGUAGUCCUGGCCGUAAACGAUGCAUACUAGGUGAUGGCACGGCCAUGAGCCGUGUCAGUGCCGUAGGGAAA